This 465-nucleotide ribosomal RNA is filed under the name Vreelandella stevensii. RNAcentral's name for it is "partial 16S ribosomal RNA". It matches the Rfam family "Bacterial small subunit ribosomal RNA", at positions 338 to 795 of the family's 1533-position model. Lineage: Bacteria; Pseudomonadati; Pseudomonadota; Gammaproteobacteria; Oceanospirillales; Halomonadaceae. The record is from RNAcentral.
CCUACGGGGGGCAGCAGUGGGGAAUAUUGGACAAUGGGGGGAACCCUGAUCCAGCCAUGCCGCGUGUGUGAAGAAGGCCCUCGGGUUGUAAAGCACUUUCAGUGAGGAAGAACGCCUGGUGGUUAAUACCCAUCAGGAAUGACAUCACUCACAGAAGAAGCACCGGCUAACUCCGUGCCAGCAGCCGCGGUAAUACGGAGGGUGCGAGCGUUAAUCGGAAUUACUGGGCGUAAAGCGCGCGUAGGUGGCUUGAUAAGCCGGUUGUGAAAGCCCCGGGCUCAACCUGGGAACGGCAUCCGGAACUGUCAAGCUAGAGUGCAGGAGAGGAAGGUAGAAUUCCCGGUGUAGCGGUGAAAUGCGUAGAGAUCGGGAGGAAUACCAGUGGCGAAGGCGGCCUUCUGGACUGACACUGACACUGAGGUGCGAAAGCGUGGGUAGCAAACAGGAUUAGAUACCCGAGUAGUC